UGGGGAAUAUUGGACAAUGGGCGCAAGCCUGAUCCAGCAAUGCCGCGUGAGUGAUGAAGGCCUUCGGGUUGUAAAGCUCUUUUGGCGGGGACGAUGAUGACGGUACCCGCAGAAGAAGCCCCGGCUAACUUCGUGCCAGCAGCCGCGGUAAUACGAAGGGGGCGAGCGUUGUUCGGAUUUACUGGGCGUAAAGGGCGCGUAGGCGGCCAUUCAAGUCAGGCGUGAAAGCCCCGGGCUCAACCUGGGAACGGCGCUUGGGACUGGGUGGCUGGAGUUCGGGAGAGGAGAGUGGAAUUCCCAGUGUAGAGGUGAAAUUCGUAGAUAUUGGGAAGAACACCGGUGGCGAAGGCGGCUCUCUGGACCGAUACUGACGCUGAGGCGCGAAAGCGUGGGGAGCAAACAGGAUUAGAUACCCCCGUAGUCC
RNAcentral lists this ribosomal RNA (424 nucleotides) under uncultured bacterium. RNAcentral describes it as "bacterial SSU rRNA". It matches the Rfam family "Bacterial small subunit ribosomal RNA", at positions 355 to 796 of the family's 1533-position model. The record is from RNAcentral.